RNAcentral lists this ribosomal RNA (489 nucleotides) under uncultured bacterium. RNAcentral's name for it is "bacterial SSU rRNA". It matches the Rfam family "Bacterial small subunit ribosomal RNA", at positions 31 to 507 of the family's 1533-position model. The record is from RNAcentral.
GAACGCUGGCGGCAGGCCUAACACAUGCAAGUCGAGCGGUAACAGAAAGAAAGCUUGCUUUCUUUGCUGAUGAGCGGCGGACGGGUGAGUAAUGCCUGGGAAUAUGCCUUAGUGUGGGGGAUAACUAUUGGAAACGAUAGCUAAUACCGCAUAACGUCUUCGGACCAAAGAGGGGGACCUUCGGGCCCCUCGCGCUAAGAUUAGCCCAGGUGGGAUUAGCUAGUUGGUGAGGUAAAGGCUCACCAAGGCAACGAUCCCUAGCUGGUCUGAGAGGAUGAUCAGCCACACUGGAACUGAGACACGGUCCAGACUCCUACGGGAGGCAGCAGUGGGGAAUAUUGCACAAUGGGGGAAACCCUGAUGCAGCCAUGCCGCGUGUAUGAAGAAGGCCUUCGGGUUGUAAAGUACUUUCAGUCGUGAGGAAGGCAUUGUAGUUAAUAGCUGCAGUGCUUGACGUUAGCGACAGAAGAAGCACCGGCUAACUCCGUG